Molecule: long non-coding RNA, 2234 nt
Organism: Ailuropoda melanoleuca (giant panda)
Lineage: Eukaryota; Metazoa; Chordata; Mammalia; Carnivora; Ursidae
Exons: 3
Source: RefSeq, a predicted model, not a curated record
CUGGGUCCGGGGGACACUCGGGGGCCGGCAUGGCAGAGGGAACCAGCCGAGUCUGCGACGCGCAGAGACUUGGCGGCCCUGGGUCUUGCGCCCACCGUCCUCCGGGGGCAGGAGGAUGGAGAAGGGUCGGCUACCGGUAGACUGCCCUCGGGGGAUCCCGGAGCGUCCGCCGACCUCAGCCGCCGAGCGACUCGGGCUGUGCUCCCCGCCUCGGGCGGAGAGCCCCUAGCGGAGCAGCACCGGGGGUAGCCGAGGGAGAGACGGGGCGGGGCGCUGAGCCAGGCACCGGGAUGCAAGGGGAGCCAAAAGGGACCGGACGCGGCCGAGCGUCGCGGGGCAGAGCCUGGGCCGCAGCUCGAACCCUAGCUAGGCGCACGGACCUCGGCAAGGCGCCCAUCCCCCGCCCCGCGGGCCCCGCGCUCAGCCGGGAGUCGGGCAGGAGGCUCGGACUCUGAAGCCUAAUUCAUGGCCGGAAACCGGCGCAGCCGUGACCGCGGCGCCUGGACGUGAGGAGCCUUCCAAGCUGCCGGCGUACUCAGACUCCCACUCUGCACGGAGCCUUUACGCGCGAGCCCGGGCGAAGAGCCCGCUCCUGGCGUCCAGCGCCGAACCGAGCUCUCUCCGCCGCCUGGCGAAUGCCUCCGGCCGGCCACCAACAGAUGCAACGUUAAACCAGCCUGGGCUCAAGCCUGGGAGGAGGUGGCAAGCCGGACGCGCCGCUCGCUCACCCCCAGGUCCCAGACGGACUGGGCUCCACGUGGCACACUCAAGAUUUCGGGGAGACAACUGAGUCCUCCCGGACCCCGAUUCCGCGGAAGCUUGGUCUGGGCGACCAUAACAGAGCCUCAUGCAAGGGGCCUCUCUAGAAAGCCCGGGAGCGUCCCUUGGCCCUGUAGUCCGCCAGCGCGAAGGCGCCUGCCAUCCCCUGUGCCGUGCGUGAGGGACUUGGAGAGGCUUAGCGACAGACCUUGCCUGAACCUCCCUGCGCAGUGGGAGAGGUGGACACAGAUCGUUAGAAGAUGUGGCGAGGACCCUGAAUGAGCCAUGUAUGCGCAUGGCCAAGCAUGGGAGGAAGAGCCAGGGAUGGCUUCCUGGAGGAGGUAGAGCCAGCAGGAUUGCAGCCCGACAAUCCUCAAGACCCCCUUCAAAAUAUUAAGAAAACAAGCCACACAGUUUUGCAGAGACUUCUGCCAGUUUUGGUUUGGAUGAUGAUGAGGUCUCUCUGGUUUGGAACCUGGGAGUUGUGACUCCAGUUGGAAUCCCCUGGAAGCUGUUGGCCUGGGCCCGUCCAAGCAUAGAGCCCACCUGGGAUUUCCAAGACAGUUCAGCCUACGCCCUACACGAAGCUUACUACCGGCAAGAAAGACCAAGGCCCGGCCAUUCUCUGCAGGCUUUGGCACAGAAGACAAGAUCUCCUGAGUACAUUAGAAGGGGGCCAACCCAAGUCCUGAGGUCAUCUCUGCGGGGUGGGGUCAGCCAGCAUCUUAGAAGGAGCCGGGCUUGGAGCCCUGCAGCUUGAGUUCCAGGCUGGGCCGUACCCAUGGGCUCCAAGAAACACACCCUCUGCCAGGAUUCUGAGCUCAGAAAAACCUCACUGCCCCUGGCCCCUCUUAACCCACUGGAUUUUUCCUUUUUAAAAAACACCUUUAUUUAUUGCUUAUCCCCCCUCCCCCCUUUUCCCUCUGUACUGCCUUUGGCUCUCCAGCUGUAUGUCAAUUGUCCAUCUCUCCUUUGUCUUCCUUGCCCCUUCUUGCCAACCUCUCUCAUCUCAUUUUCACUGUUUCUCAGCUUGUAUUUAUUUUAUUUGAUCUCCUUUUAUAUUACCGUAUUUUUUAUUUUAUUUUUAUUCUUGGGUCGCCUCAUGGGUUUUUACUUUCAGUUUCCCAAGCUGGCAGUCUUUUGCAUCGCUCAUUCUAUUAUCUGAGCCUUCUAUGCAUUUGGUCUUUGGUUUUCCUGAGGUUGCGUGUGGGGGAGUGGCGCCUCCAGGGCAGGACCUGCUGGUGUGCCCCCCCCCACGCUCAGCUGCUGCACCUUUUCCAGGUACCCCCACCGCCCCACUGGCAAUGGCACAGUGCAGGUCCCCCUGGCUGGCAGCCGGGGGAGGGGAGGGCUUCACUUUCUGGAGCCCUGCCCUGUGAGGAGGAAGAAAACCAUACACAGUGUGUCCUCCCCUUAUUUUUGCAGGGUAAGGACCCCUCUUUAUCCCCAUUAUACAGUCAGGAAACUGGGGCCCA